This 465-nucleotide ribosomal RNA is filed under the name Vreelandella stevensii. RNAcentral describes it as "partial 16S ribosomal RNA". It matches the Rfam family "Bacterial small subunit ribosomal RNA", at positions 338 to 795 of the family's 1533-position model. The record is from RNAcentral. Lineage: Bacteria; Pseudomonadati; Pseudomonadota; Gammaproteobacteria; Oceanospirillales; Halomonadaceae.
CCUACGGGUGGCAGCAGUGGGGAAUAUUGGACAAUGGGCGAAAGCCUGAUCCAGCCAUGCCGCGUGUGUGAAGAAGGCCUUCGGGUUGUAAAGCACUUUCAGUGGGGAAGAAAGCCUUGGGGCUAAUACCCUCGAGGAAGGACAUCACCCACAGAAGAAGCACCGGCUAACUCCGUGCCAGCAGCCGCGGUAAUACGGAGGGUGCGAGCGUUAAUCGGAAUUACGGGGCGUAAAGCGCGCGUAGGCGGUCUGAUAAGCCGGUUGUGAAAGCCCCGGGCUCAACCUGGGAACGGCAUCCGGAACUGUCAGGCUAGAGUGCAGGAGAGGAAGGUAGAAUUCCCGGUGUAGCGGUGAAAUGCGUAGAGAUCGGGAGGAAUACCAGUGGCGAAGGCGGCCUUCUGGACUGACACUGACGCUGAGGUGCGAAAGCGUGGGUAGCAAACAGGAUUAGAUACCCCUGUAGUC